AAAUCUAUAGGCUGCUGCCCCCCUCUCAAACCCUCCCCCCACUUAUCUGAUCUGUAGGCUGUCUCUGGCUGCAUGUGUUGUUCCCCUGCGGUUUCAAUCAGCAGAGAGAAGCAGGGAUAAGAUGCAGCUUCCUAUCCCUGUCUCUCUCCAUACACCUACUGACCGGCGCCGGUAUUGCAGUUCAUUUUAAAUCUCAUACGAAAAAUAGCAGAACAAGCUGAAAAAUCC
Non-coding RNA from Pelobates cultripes (western spadefoot toad), 228 nucleotides. The record is from the annotation of a GenBank genome assembly. Lineage: Eukaryota; Metazoa; Chordata; Amphibia; Anura; Pelobatidae.